UUUUUCACAUUCAAAGUGUUUUUUUAUUUUUCUAAAAGUUCUUAGCUUGCCAGUAUUUUCGACAGGUUGAAACUGCUCUGCCCAAUACAAAAUGAAUCAAAAUGAAUCUGUCAAAUGAAUCAUUUGUGCAGGGCGGCAAGGGAUGGGUCAUCCCACCAUAACACUUAUAUAUGCUAAUGUAUAUUGGGUGCCACGAUACGAGAUGCUAACUGUGCAUCCAAACUUGUUAGUACCUGCUUA
Non-coding RNA from Paramuricea clavata, 240 nucleotides. NCBI's taxonomy places the organism in Eukaryota, Metazoa, Cnidaria, Anthozoa, Malacalcyonacea, Plexauridae. The record is from the annotation of a GenBank genome assembly.